Molecule: long non-coding RNA, 618 nt
Organism: Lagenorhynchus albirostris (white-beaked dolphin)
Lineage: Eukaryota; Metazoa; Chordata; Mammalia; Artiodactyla; Delphinidae
Exons: 3
Source: RefSeq, a predicted model, not a curated record
AUGCCAGUCUUGGGCACUGACUCAGGGGGCAGCAGGCAGGUAUUUGAAAAAAGACUGAGAAACUUGCCGAGAGCCUGUGUCCCCUUCUGACUGCCUCUCAGAGAAACAGAGGCAAGUUGAGUGGAGGACCAGGGUCCAAUGGAGGAUGAGCCUGUGACGGGCCGUGGUUCAAGUUCAUGUGAGAAACAGCGGAAGUAACAGGGGCCGUUUAACCCUGAGAAGAGCCAGGCUGUGGAGAACUAGGAGAGUGUAUUCCCCUGUCUUCGAAUAUUGGAGCAGUCAAGGGGAAUUGUGGGAUUUCAGAGCCGUUAGAGCUCCCAGAUACCAUCUGGGCGUGUUGCAGAUGAGGGGACACGGGUUCGAGCCCUGGUCCAGGAAGAUCCCACAUCCCGCGGAGCAACUAAGCCUGUGUGCCACAACUACUGAGGCUGCACUCUAGAGCCCGCUCGCCACAACUACUGAGCCCACGUGCCGCAACUGCUGAAGCCCGCAGGCCUAAAAGCCUAAGCUCUGCAACAAGAGAAACCAGUGCAAUGAGAAGCCCACGCACCGCAAGGAAGAGUAGCCCCCGCUCGACGCAACUAGAGAAAGCCCACGUGCAGCAACGAAGACCCAACG